RNAcentral lists this RNase P RNA (341 nucleotides) under Clostridiales bacterium. Its description in RNAcentral is "RNase P RNA component class A". It matches the Rfam family "Bacterial RNase P class A". Rfam says of the family: Ribonuclease P (RNase P) is a ubiquitous endoribonuclease, found in archaea, bacteria and eukarya as well as chloroplasts and mitochondria. Lineage: Bacteria; Bacillati; Bacillota; Clostridia; Eubacteriales. The record is from RNAcentral.
CGAGUAAGUCGGAUGAUCGCGGGGGCAGAUUUGCCAACGAGGAAAGUCCGAGCUCCACAGGGCAGGGUGCUGGGUAACUCCCAGUGGAGGCGACUCCAAGGAAAGUGCAACAGAAAUAGACUGCCGCUUUUGCGGUGAUGGUGGAAAGGUGAGGUAAGAGCUCACCAGCGGUUAGGCGACUAACCGGCUCUGCAAACCCCACCUGGAGCAAGACUAAAUAGGGGAACCUAUGCAGUUGCCCGCUGCGUUCCCGGGUGUAGUCGCUUGAGGUGUUAGGCAACUAACAUCCUAGAUAGAUGAUCAUCCAAGACAGAACUCGGCUUACAGACUUAUCUCGCAUA